GUAGUCAUAUGCUUGUCUCAAAGAUUAAGCCAUGCAUGUCUAAGUAUAAGCAAUUAUACAGCGAAACUGCGAAUGGCUCAUUAUAUAAGUUAUCGUUUAUUUGAUAGUACCUUACUACUUGGAUAACCGUGGUAAUUCUAGAGCUAAUACAUGCUAAAAAUCCCGACUUCGGAAGGGAUGUAUUUAUUAGAUUAAAAACCAAUGCCCUUCGGGGCUCACUGGUGAUUCAUGAUAACUCCUCGAAUCGCAUGGCCUUGUGCCGGCGAUGGUUCAUUCAAAUUUCUUCCCUAUCAACUUUCGAUGUUUGGGUAUUGGCCAAACAUGGUUGCAACGGGUAACGGAGGGUUAGGGCUCGACCCCGGAGAAGGAGCCUGAGAAACGGCUACUACAUCCAAGGAAGGCAGCAGGCGCGCAAAUUACCCAAUCCCGACACGGGGAGGUAGUGACAAUAAAUACUGAUACAGGGCUCUUUUGGGUCUUGUAAUUGGAAUGAGUACAAUUUAAAUCCCUUA
Molecule: ribosomal RNA, 512 nt
Filed under: uncultured Fusarium
Lineage: Eukaryota; Fungi; Ascomycota; Sordariomycetes; Hypocreales; Nectriaceae
Description: SSU rRNA
Rfam family: Eukaryotic small subunit ribosomal RNA
Source: RNAcentral